This 228-nucleotide non-coding RNA is filed under the name Eubacterium sp. Its description in RNAcentral is "T-box sequence". It matches the Rfam family "T-box leader". Rfam says of the family: Uncharged tRNA acts as the effector for transcription antitermination of genes in the T-box leader family. T-boxes are found upstream of many aminoacyl-tRNA synthetase genes and some amino acid biosynthetic genes usually in Gram-positive bacteria. The record is from RNAcentral. Lineage: Bacteria; Bacillati; Bacillota; Clostridia; Eubacteriales; Eubacteriaceae.
UUAAAAACUGUGAAGGAAACAAGACGGUUACCGUGAGUUUCAGAGAGCUGCCGUGUGGUGAAAGGCAGUACCAAGUAUCCGUGUAUAACUCGUUCCGGAGUUUCAUAGCUGAAGUCAUAGGCUGUGACGGCAGACACCGUUAUAUGUCAGGUCUUGUUGGAGACCGCAGAGGGCAGCCUCGGCUGCCGAAUUAGGGUGGUACAGCGUGGUUUUUACUUCGCCCCUAUC